GAUGAACGCUAGCGGGAGGCCUAACACAUGCAAGCCGAGGGAGAAGCUUUCUUCGGAAAGUAGACACCGGCGAACGGGUGCGUAACGCGUAUGCAACUUGCCUUUUUCUGGGAAAUAGCCCGAGGAAACUCGGAUUAAUGUCCCAUAAUAUUCAUCUAGGCAUCUAGGCGAGUUGAAAGAUUUAUCGGAAAAAGAUAGGCAUGCGUCAAAUUAGUUUGUUGGUGAGGUAAUAGCUCACCAAGACUAUGAUUUGUAGGGGGCCUGAGAGGGUAAUCCCCCACACUGGUACUGAGACACGGACCAGACUCCUACGGGAGGCAGCAGUGAGGAAUAUUGGACAAUGGGUGAAAGCCUGAUCCAGCCAUCCCGCGUGCAGGAAGACGGCCUUAUGGGUUGUAAACUGCUUUUUUACAGGAAUAAACCCCUUCACGUGUGAAGGUCUGAAUGUACUGUAAGAAUAAGCACCGGCUAACUCCG
Molecule: ribosomal RNA, 477 nt
Filed under: uncultured Flavobacteriales bacterium
Lineage: Bacteria; Pseudomonadati; Bacteroidota; Flavobacteriia; Flavobacteriales
Description: bacterial SSU rRNA
Rfam family: Bacterial small subunit ribosomal RNA
Source: RNAcentral